RNAcentral lists this microRNA (23 nucleotides) under Drosophila mojavensis. RNAcentral's name for it is "Dmo-Mir-976_3p (mature (guide))". The record is from RNAcentral. Lineage: Eukaryota; Metazoa; Arthropoda; Insecta; Diptera; Drosophilidae.
UGGAUUAGUUCUCAUCGAUGUCG